Molecule: long non-coding RNA, 9850 nt
Organism: Manis pentadactyla (Chinese pangolin)
Lineage: Eukaryota; Metazoa; Chordata; Mammalia; Pholidota; Manidae
Exons: 4
Source: RefSeq, a predicted model, not a curated record
AAGCCUGAGUGAUGCUGAAUACCACAACACUAAAGAGGAGAACAAGUCAGUUACUCCCGGCUUCAGGACUGUUCUGUGCGUUUUACAUACAGCAUUAUCUCACUGUUAUUCUUGGAGGGAGGUUUUAUUAAUAACUUACUUUUCCAAAUGAAGUAACUGAGGUUUAGAGAGGUCGAUCCACUUUCUCAAGGACACACAGCUAGGGAAUGUAAGAGCCAGGAUACAAACCCUGAUCUUCUGGCUUAGAGCCUGAAUCCCUAAAGAAAAAGCAAGUUGAAUGUUUUUAAACAUUUCAAGCCCCUGCUAUGUGUAAGACAUUGAGGUAGGUGGCAACAAAAAUAAGGACACUUGGCUGGGCCUUUGAGAAGCUGAGUGAGGACACAAGACUUCAGUAAGACUCUCAAGAAAGUGAGAUGUGAAAAGUACCACAUACAAGUUCCCCCAGUACUAUGGGAGCAGCAGGAGAGAGGAGGGGUUUAGUGUGGAGGGUGGGGAGGGAGGGAACUGGGGGAGGAAGCACAGAGGCCAAGGAAUAGAGAAGGCUGGUCUUCAGCCAUGAAGAGGAACUUUAGUGGAGGGCAGGGGGCCAUUCCUGGAGGCCAGUAGAGCAGGGGCAAAGACAUGACAGCAGGAGAUGUAUCCUGCUGCCGGCCAUGGAGAGCAAUGGGGAGAAGCAGGAGGGGUGGUGCCGGUGCUGGGCUAAGCUGUGAAGGCUUAGAAAGCCACCUUUGCUCUAUAAAAAUGGGGAGCCAUUGAAGGUCUUUGAGCAGAGGUGAACAUCAUCUCUACCAGUUCUAUAGGUAGCAAAACAUCCUGGAAACCGAAGCGAAAAACUAGAAGCAUGGGGUCAGGUUACAUUGCAUGAUCUUUUACAGCGCUUCCUUUAGAAUAUUUUUUUGCCACCUACAGGUAUUACUAUUCCCAAAAAAAAGAAAAAAGAAAGAAAGAAAGAGAGUACAUUUUCAAAGGAGAGAGGGGAGCAGGGAGUCAGGAGGCAAGGCAGAGAGAUGUGGGAGGCUGCAGCAGGAAGGAGCAGUAUUGGUGGGUCCCCACUGCCCCCCUGUCUGCUGGCCCUCCAGCUGUUUGAGUGAUGGUUGAGGAUGGCAACCGCCUCAGAGGUCUGCACCCAGCUGAGCACGCGGGGCUGCAGGGGGUUCGGGACCCUCCUCUUGCCUGGAGCCUUAGCCUUCCCUGACCAAUGAGGCUUCAGCCCGUCCCUACUCCUCGCAGAAGUGUGUCCUCACCAAUGUCCUCCCUACUGGCCACGCAGUGGGGCCACAGGCUGAUCUUUAAAUCCUCUCUGAGCUCAUUGGAAACCAUUAUCUCAGAGGCCUCUCUGCAUCCUGGAGCUCAGACUGUCCCUAUAGGAGGACCAGGCACUGUGCUAGGUGCUUUACAGGCACUGAAUAUAAUCCAACAAAAAAAAUGUGUUGCUCCCCUUCAUCUGACAGAUGGGGAAAUGGGGGUUCAGUGGCUUGUUCCACCAAGCUCUCACAGUGAGAGGGGUAUUGUCACCUGGGGCAGUGGGGGGGGGGAGCUCCCCUCAGAGCCCAUCACUGGGCUGUACUGCCUCAGGCUCUUUGGGAGAAAAGUCUGUUCCUCCACUCCCCCUAAUCUCUCACCGUUGGCCUGGAAUAGGGGCUUCAGUCACCCCCCUGAGCCAUUUCCUCUGCCUGGGUGCCUCUCUUCCCUUCUCCCCCCCCCACAGGGCGAACUCCUAUUGCACCUGUGAAGCCCAGUGGACCCAUUACUUUGUCCCCAGAGUCUCAGACUGCACCUCCUCUCCCCUGAUCUGUGUUCCUGUACAACUACUCUGGGAGGGGAGGGAAGGCUCUGGGGACGUGACUGGGACGUGAGUUCCAGCCCAGAGAUGAAGGAACAGUCAGCUUGUUCUGAGCGCUCAGAAGGACAGGCCUGGGGCAGGGUGGACGUGAGAGGGAGGAUGGCGCCAGCUCACCCAGGGAAAGACGGGUCAUCCCGCCCCUGGGAUUAUUUGGCUUAGAGGCCAGAGGAGGACAAGUUCCAGAAGGAGAGAGAAGCAAAGAUCCAGGCUGCCCAGCAAGGACUGGCUGGUGCCCCACUAGCCCAAAGACCACACAGCCUUUUUCUGACUGGCCUCUCCUGGCUCUCUGUGGCAGGGCUCAGGGUGGGAAGCUGUCUUCUGUAUACAGAUGCCCUUAGAGCCCAGGGGCCCCCACCCCAGGUGGGGGGGGGGGACAGAGCAGCAUGGGCUCCUUGUAAACUCAGAGAGCCGCCAGUGCCCAGAACAGUGAAUGGCACACAGUAGGCACUUAAGCGUUUGUUGGAUGAAGAAAUGAAUGAGUCACUGACCCCAGCCCAGGAAGGAGGAGGGCCAGCAGCCUUGAAGUCUCUCUGUCUGCUCCCUUGUGAAGCAGGACCUCCUCCCUUGGAGCCCCUCAGGUGCAGGGUGGCUGGGGCAGGCUCUGGGGUGGGGGAAGCAAUGGGAGGGGAUGGGGAGAACCACAGCCAAGUGGAGCCACUCAGGAGGGAAGCAGACAGUGAGCCAUGUUUUUGGUGAAACACCCUUUCUGAUGCCUGGGCACAGGCAGUGCCUGAGGCCGUAAGGAACCUUCAGGUACCCCCAGGUGAGGACCUCCCACAAUUCCAUAGGCGAUAGCAUGAUGCAAUUGUUAGUGCCAGGAACUCUGGGUUUAAACGUUUGUUUCUGGGCACCAACUCCACCCCUCACUAACCAGACCAGUUGCCUCAGUUUCCCUAUAUGCUAAUAGCACCACCUGAUGCACAGGUUUGCUAGAAAGUUCACCUGAGAGUUGCUGGAAGGUUCACCUGAGAGGUGCCAGCUCAGCACAUUCUGUUUACCACUGUUAUAAACAACAGCGGGGAACCGGGAGACAGCUGAGCAGCCAGGCCCUGGGCUCUAGGCCCACCGUGCCACUGACUUAACAAGGUGACUUCGGACAAGGCCCAGCCUCUCUCCAGGCCUCAGUUUCCCCAUUUGUACAGUCAGGCCCUGCACACACAGGAAGUCUUGACCCUUCCUCAAGCCCAGGCCAGAAUGCACACACAGCUGCCUCUCCCAGCCCUGCCCAUAGGCCCUGGGACUGCCCAGAGACACACAGGCACCAGCUCACUUGAGCCCAUGCGCACCGGUACACACAGAGGCGCCCACACACACACGGGCACAUACAUGUGCCCACGGGCACACAGACAGUUCACACAAGCAGACACCCAGGCAAACAGUCACAGAUACAGGCAUGUAGACACAUACUCAUACACAUUCACACACAGACCCGACAGGCACAACCCACACUCACACUCGGCCCUCCCCUCCUCAGGGCCCCGCCCCUGCCCACGGCACCCACACCCACUCACAAUCACGCACACACUCACUCACAGACACCCCACGUCUGCUGUGUACCAACUGUUGGUGCAGGUGGGGCUGGGAGAGAGAGGGAAAAAACCCAAGACUCAGCCGGGAAAGAGGGGUGCGGGGGGGUGGGCGGGCGAGGGAAAUGACAGCCCGCGGUCCCCCUCGAGUCCCGGCUCAUGAAUAUUAAUGCCGCGGUAAUUAAAAUGCAGGGACGCAGCAGGAUGGAUGCGGCGCUGCCUCCGGAGCGCCGGGGAGCGCGGCUUCUUCGCAGGCGGGUGGAGCCGGCGCCUCGAGGGCGAACGCCGGAUGGGGAUUCGCGGCCGGCAUUCGGGGCUGGGGGCCGCGGGGCGGCAGUUUCCGCGCUGCUGAGCGGGGCGCCCCGUCCCGCGCUCCCGCCGCCGCCCCAAGCCCGGCUGCCCGCCAGGCCGCCUUUCCCGGAGCCGGCCCCCUCCCGCCUCGGGCCCGGUGAUGUCAUUUGCACAAAACUUUCCGCUUCCCGGCCCGUCUCGGGGGCCUGAGUCAUCGUCGCCCCCGGCCCGGCCGCGCCGUCUGUUUGUGCAGAGCUAGGCCCCUUUGGGCCCGGCCUGACGUCAGGCUGGCAGGGCCGGGAACGGCGUGGGGCCCACCAGCCCGGAGCCGCGGGGCGCUGGGGGACGCGACGUCCCUCCUGGGGGCUGUGGAGCAGGCCGCCGGGAAGGGCACCCUCUCGGGUUCCAGAUUCAAAUGUGAAGUCACUUUAUGCGGAUUGCUUGACCUUGCGCAAGUCCUGUGAGCUCUCUGAACUUCAGUUUCCUCAUCUGCCACUAAGCAGAUGCUCAAAAAAUCGUCACAGACUCAAAGAGUGACUGUGCGGCUGGGUAAGCCCAGGCCCAGAGAUGGAAAGGGACUCUGCCAAGGUCACACAGCAGUCCAGUGCAGACCCAUCCGUCCAUGAACCUUCAGUGCCACCUACUCUGCCAACAUGGGAGAUGGAGCAGUCUGUCACUGUGCCCUUCUUCAUGAUUGGCAUGAGACAGUUGGUCAGACUGCCUGGGGAUUAGUCCUGCCCCUCCUGAGAAAUCAGGGCCACCUGGAAACAGCACCUCUCAGCAGAAGCAUCAUCUUGUAUUGGGUAGGAGUCAGGGUUCAGAAAACACACAGGCCUGGGGUCAAAUCCCAGCUCUGUGAUUUUCUUGCUGUGUGACCUUGGGAGGUGGCUUCGCUGCUCUGAGCAGGUUUCCUCUUAUGAAAACCCAUAAUCAUAACUGUACCUCUUGCAGUGAAGAGGCAACGUGGAACGCGGGGCCCACGUAUGCCUGGCACUUGGCAAGUACUCAGGGAAGGAAUUAGGAGGGGCAGGAGUUACAUUAUUCACUUUUUUUACAGCUGAGAAAAUAAGCGGAGGAGGCUCAGCGAGGUGAGGCUGGUUGCCCAAGGUCACACAGCCCGUAGCGGGGGCUGGCCCAAGCCUAGCUGGCCGACUUGUGCUCCAACCACUGAGCUUUCCAGCCUCGGGCCGACCCCCAAGUGACCUCUGGGACCCCUGGGCGCCUGUAGGCCUAUGAGGCGGCGGAGGCCGCGGCCCGGCCCGGGCCCGGCCCGUGGGGCGGAAAGGGUUAACGGGCUCCGCCGCAUUGGGCCGGCCUCCGGGGGAACCAGCCAAUGGGCGUGCGCCGCGAUGAGGUAAUGCCGGGACCGCGCGGAGUGGGCGGAGCCGGCGGGGACCCGGUCUAGCUCGCUUUCCUUCUCUCACCACCCACCCCUCACCUUUGACCUUCAUGUCCCCCCAACCUCGCCGCCCACAGCCGUACACCCGCAGACACACACACAUACACCCUCCCCGGGCUGCAGCUGAGUGUCUUGGGCGGCCCUGAGUCCCUUAAGGUCUGCAGCAGGACCCCGGAUUUGCCUUGCCUCUUCUGGGCCUCAGUUUCCCCUUUUGCAAGGUGGGAGUCGAUGGUCGCUAAAUGCCUGAUCAGCGGCGGACAUCCUUGGGUCUCAGGACAGUUUUUAGCCCCUCCCUGACCCUGGCCCACACUUGAGAGGGCGCCGCCCUGGCCCUCCUCAGGCGAUGCCCACAGCGGGCAAGGAGUCUCCAGGCCAAGCGGAAGGAAGGAACCCCACGGGCCCGGUCACACCCUCCACGUGGCCCCGACUACGAGCCUCUUCCCAUCCUCUGGGUGCACAUGAAGGCUCACUGGCGCCGUUCCCUCUGGACACCCAGAGGGCACCCGUGGUUCUGCAUUUGCUCCAGCUUGGAGCCCUUGGAGGGCCAGCAAACCCUCCUGUGAGGCCUCACACCUUGCUGGAUUCUGGGCUGAGCUGGGAGCUCUGGGGUGCAUCCUGUUCCUACCCGCAUCUUCCUAGGCAGCCCUGGAUGGGAACUGGAGGAAUCAACAGAGGAUUUAGGAGAGGUACAAGGAAGAACUUCCUGGUGACUCUGACCAUCAGGCAUGGAUGGGGUGGUUUCAGGAGAUGCAGGGAUGGCAAGUCAACUUUCACAAGUUCUGAGAUCCGUUCCUGCCCCAACUCAGAUCGGCAACUCUGGAAGAUUCCCCAGAAGCUAGAGUGACACCUCACUGGUAUCAGAGCCAAAGCCUUGGUGGUGAUCCUAAGACAGUUAGGAUGACACUGAAUGUUUGCUCAGCUUCUGCCUCUCCAAUGACAACUCUGUGCACACAUUCACUUAAAUAAUCCCCCCAACAGUCCAAUGAGAAAGGGAACACAGCCCAUGAUUUGUCCCAUUUUACAGAUGGGAAGACUGGGGCCCAGAGAGGUUAAGUAACUUGCCCAGAGUCACAGAGCCAGCAAGUGGAGGAGCCUAGAUUUGAAGCCCCAGAGGCUGGCUCCAGAGCUCCAAUAAUUACCAGUAAUAGGAACAUUAAAUGCUUACUGUAUGCCUAGGGCUCAGAUGAGCACUUUACAUGUACUAAAUUCUUUAACCUCAAUGCUGUUAGAUAGGAUCCAAGGAUUAUGCCCAUUAUACAGAUGAAAAGAGAAUAGCCCCAUAUAUUUUAUGCCAACUAAAAAACAAAAACAAAAACAAAAAGACAAAAAAAACAAUAGCCUAGGGUUGCUGCAUGAGGCCAGAUGGUGUCCUAACUCUUGUCAUAAAGGCCUAGUUAGUAAUCCAAGCCUUCGUCCCAGAGCUGUUUGCUAUGUGAAAAGGCUUAGCACAGAGUAGAUGCUCAAUAAAUGGUGCUAUUCCAUUCCCCACUUCUUCCCUCUGGGCUUUCUUUUACAACUCCUGGGCACACAGCUCCAGCCAGACUGGGGGAGACACAGGCCACUGUGGGACUCCUAAGGCCCCUUAAGACCAUAGCCUAGAGGGCACUGGCAAGGCAGCCAGUUUCAGUCUGGAGGAGGAAUUAUGAUGAUGGGAGGGACACAGGGCCUCUGGAAGCCAACGGGAGGGGGCCUAAAUCCAAGAAGUCUUUCUGGAGGAGGCUGAAUCAAUACUAUGCCCUGGAGGAUGAGUAAGAGGCAGCCCACGAUGGGAGGGAAAGGUAUUCCUAUCAGAGGAACGCACACAUGAGGUCCCAAAGUGAGAGAGGAACAGAGUCAUCUCAGAGGAACAGAGAGCGCUAAGCAGUUUUGUCAGGCUGAACAGGUGCAGGGAGUGCGGGCAGACAUGAGGCCAGAGCCUGGCUGAUCAGCAAGGGCCUCGAUUGCCAGGCUGGCUGAGAGUGGGCGGGAACCUGUCCCAAGGCAGAGAGCCUGGUUAGGAGAUUGCUGCAGGAGACAUGGAGGAUGUGGACUGGGCAAGCUGAGUGGAUGGGAGAGGCCCUAGGGAGUUAUAAAAAGAUCACCUGCUCUGAUGUUGGCGGUUGGCUUACAAGUUUUUCUUCCAUGCCAUCCCAGACACAGGAAACCUCAUGCACACAAGCAUGGAGGUAAGGGUAGCCAGGUGUGCUCCUGGAGGAAGACAGUGGGCCUCCAGAAGCAAGCUGUAGGGGACAGCAAGGGUUUGGCAGCUCAGGUAGGAAGAUUAACUGGAAAAUUAAUCUGGAAGCUUUGCAGGAUGGAUUACAAGGGCAGCCCUGGAGGCAGGGAGGCUGGGAGGAGGCCGUUGCUGGUGGGGAGGUGGGGGUCCCUUCCCCAGGCCCUGUGCCCUCCUCCGGCCCGUCCUCCCUUCUGCAGAGUCCUUUUGAUUCUGCACCUACUCCCCCUCCGUGGGCCACCUCAUGCGUCCACCGCCAGCUGGAGACGGAAGGAGGUGCUCGCCGUUCACUGCUCAUCCAGGCCAUCGACGGAAACGUCAGGAGGUCAAGCCCAUGCCUGAACACUUUCCGGCAGCCGACACCGGCAGAUCCAUUGGUGAGCUUCGCGCUGCCACCUCAAGGCCUGCCUCAGAGCAAUGCAGCCCUGGGCCCGGGUCACGGCUUCUCUGGACUUGACUUGGAAUGUGCAGCAUGGGCCUAACUGGGAGCUGUGGGCAAGUGGAGACAGCACCUCUUGUCUGCAGACUGUGAAAUUGUGCGCUGUGUAUCUGAUACAGGAAUUUAUAGGCUGGUCAAGAAGGAAAACAGGAGCAGGCACGUGAUACAAGGCAGGCAGGCAUGGUAGAAUAGCACUAAGGGUGCAGACCCGGAUCACAGAGGCCCACCAUCCCUAACCCCAAAUCCUUGGGCAGAUGGUUCCAGAACUCAGAACUUUCCCAGCUGUAGAAAGAUCAUAUGACAUAUACCACAUAUUUCCUAACACCCCCCGUGAGGUAUGUGGCUAUCACUGUAGUCAGACACAUUGAUAAGGCUGCAGCAAAGCGUAUGAACAAAGAUUAUAAAUACCCUCUGCAUCUCAGCUUUCUCAUCUCUAAAAUGGGGCGAUGGUGAUGCCCUGAGAAUCUGCUGUCUCCUAUGACACCAGCUGGCCAGCUGCGCCUCAGACACAGGCUCUUGUCCUGCCCCACGCCCUUUGCACCUGCUGCUCUUCUGAAUAUUCUUCUCCAGGCAUCUCCUGAGGUGGCGCUCUCACUUCCUUCCAAACUGCUCAAAGGCCCCGCCCUCCGCGAGCCUUGCCAGGCCGUCCUGUCUCCUCUGACAUGUAAUUUAAUCAGCUGCUCAUUUAUAAUGUCCCACUCUCCCACAGUGGAAUCUGAGGGCAGGACUCUGUUCUGCCACCUGCUACGCCUAGGACAGUGCCCGCACAGGUGGACACUCCGGUUUUGUCUGUUACAUGUACCUGGCACCUCAGAAAGGCUCAAUAAAGCCCAGCUGGUACCAUCACAUUGUUGUUAUUGAUGCUGCUGCUAUUAUUAUCAUCCGUGUUACAUUCCUGAGCUGAUCCCAGACUUUGGUUCUCCAGCCUGUGAAAUGGGCAUCCUGGGACUGAGGCAUCAGCCACCAGAAGCCAGUUGAGUCCCUGCAGGAGAGACAAAGAAUGCUGCCUGCCCCCGAGGGAGCCUGUGCCCCUCACUGGAUAGAGGCUGGGGGGAAGCUUGGAGAACGCCAGCCCUAGUGAGCAGGGCUGCCAGAAGGCCAUACAUAAUUCAUUGCCAAAUGGGGCCGCAGGCGGCUCUCUGUGCUGGGCGCUGGGGGCUCGCUUGGAGCCUGGCACCUUGCUGACUGCUCCUCACACGUCGCUUCAUUGCAUCUUCUCGGAUUUGCAGGGUGUGAUCCUUUCCCUCCCACUAUUUUCCCCUGGGGGAUCCUGAGGUUCAGAGGCUGGGCCACUGUGGAAGGCAUGCAGUUUCUCAGCGGCCAAGUAGGGCCUUAAGUCAGCAGAUUCGGACCCAGCAGCCCUCAGUUACUGCCUCUCUGUGGAGGGAACAGGCUGCCUGGGAAGGCGACGGGAGGGACAGAAGAGGACCCCCUGCAGGCAGAGUAGGCUGAGGAUGGGCUGGAUGGCAGCGGGGCUGAGGAAGGCUCAGAGUCCGCGUGUCCCUGGCCCCCAGCUCACCUCCCCACCGUGCCCUCCUCUCCUUGCAGUGCUCCCUGCUGUGGCCGCCAAGAGUGCUGGCUCUGGAGUUUCAGGGUUCAGUUUGCACAGCUGUAAAAUGGGAACAACAACCCAGGCCCGGCGACUAUGAGGCCGUGCAGACGGGGUGCGGGCUCAAAGCGACUUCUGCGGGGGCUGUAGGGGUGCAGGGGGCCAGUCCCGAAAGGUUACGUACUCUAUGAUUCCAUUUAGAUAAUUUUGAAAUAACAAAAUUUUAGAAAUGGAGAACAGAUUAAACAUUGUGAGGCAUUAGGGAGGGGCUGGACGGGGGCGUGGUUAUAAAAGAACAGGAGGAUCCUUGUGGUGACAGUGCCAUUCUGCACCCGGCUGCGAGGGCGGAGACACAAGCCUGUGAUACAUUGCACAGGCCUGAAUCCACAUACAAAAGGGUGUGAGUGAAGCAGAACCUGGGUGAGGCUGCUGGAUUGUGUCAGCAUCGCUACCCUGGUUGUGAUACUGUCCUGUAGUUCUAGGCAUUUCCAUUUGGGGGAAACUGGGGCCAGGGGUACCUGAAGCCCUCGUAUUACUUCUUACACCUGCACGUCAAUUUGCAACUAUCUCAAUAAAAAUUUCGAUUAAAAA